GGGGGGGGGGGGCGGGGGGGGGGGGGGGUGGGGGGGGGGGGGGAGGGCGCUGGUGGGGUGGGGUGCGGGGGUGGCGAACGGGUGAGUAACACGGGGGUAACCUGCCCUUGACGUUGGGAUCGCUUCAGGUAACUGGGGCUAAUGCCGGAUAGGAGCUCCGGCUGCGUGGUGGGGGUUGGACAGUUUCGGCGGGUGGGGAUGGACUCGCGGCUUAUCAGCUUGUUGGUGGGGUAGUGGCUUACCAAGGCUUUGACGGGUAGCCGGCCUGAGAGGGUGACCGGCCACAUUGGGACUGAGAUACGGCCCAGACUCCUACGGGGGGCAGCAGUGGGGAAUAUUGCACAAUGGGCGGAAGCCUGAUGCAGCAACGCCGCGUGCGGGAUGACGGCCUUCGGGUUGUAAAACGCUUUCGCCUGUGACGAAGCGUGAGUGACGGUAAUGGGUAAAGAAGCACCGGCUAACUACGUG
This 468-nucleotide ribosomal RNA is filed under the name uncultured bacterium. Its description in RNAcentral is "partial 16S ribosomal RNA". The stretch from base 48 to 468 matches the Rfam family "Bacterial small subunit ribosomal RNA", at positions 34 to 507 of the family's 1533-position model. The record is from RNAcentral.